GUUUUAGAUGUCCAACAAUUUGCCUUGCGGUUUUAUAUGUUGGGAUGAGACAAGGCUAGUAGGUCACUGUGUGCAUCGAAUGCAUAUAUAUAUUCAUAUUUAAGGUACUGGUAGUGAUAUUGUAUACAAUUAAAGGGACCUGUGGUGUUGAUCAAAAUGAUAAUGUCCACCCUCAUCAAUAUAUUAAUCUAUCUGAUUCGACUAGUUUUGUCUACUUCUGAUGAAGUCAUGUUCCUGUAACAUUUGCUGCAUGCUGAGAAACCAAAUGACUGAACCACAGAGUUUUGAAACCAUCUUUGACUGAACUGUGUUCUUGCUCUACAUAGACAUCUGAUUAUCGUACAAAUACUGUAAUUCAUUUGCCAUUCAAGCUGUAUUAUGUUGCCCCUGAAGGAGAAAUAUAGACCAAUAGUGAAGAAGCUGCUGGAAGCUGGAUGCUGUGCCCGCUGUGUCCUGAGGUUCUGCUGCUUGGGGGUGCAGUCAGCCUACCGCCAGUCUUAUGAGAUACAGCAAAGGAGCUUUGUGCUUUCAUCAGUGAUUCAGAGAAUAACGAAUCCCAAGAUGCAGCCGUGCUGGAGCAGCACACAGAAGACCCCCCUCGUAAAAAAAUUAAGAUGGAUGCGGCGGAGACGGACGUCCAAUCAGAAGGCGACUCUGCCGUGGUUCCCGCGGUGAUGGAGGAAGGCGACUCCGAGCCAGCGGACUCGGACGUGUGUGCGGUGUGCCUGGGAGUUCUACAGGAGUUCUGUGAUGAAGCCUAUGCCAUAAAGAUAUCGGAUGUGGUGAAGGCCAAAAACUACCAGUUUGACACGAUGGUACUGUCCGUCUCCCUGCCGGCCCAGCUGUCUGUCAGAGAGCACUCUUGUUGGCUGCAUGUAAAGAAGGAAGUGAGAUAGGAUGAUGUCAUCCAGGUGAAGGAGGCCUUCAAGUGGACCAUACAGGGUCUGAUGUCCAAAGAGCUUGGUGGCGUACCUGUGGUGACCAAGAUCAGUCGACAAACUGAACAGUUUGAGGUGGGCGUGGGGUUCACACAUCCAGAGACGGACUCAGACUGCCACUUCCUGGCUGGCAUCUGUUCAGACUGCUUCAGACCAACUAAGAACAAACAGAAAGUUCCCCUGUCCCCCUACACGGCCAGCGAGGAAAUGCAUCGCUCAAGAGGUCCAGUGUCUUCACGUUUCUGUAUUUGGGUAAGGUUGUUUAUGACAUCCCUUUUGGAUGAUUUGAACCAACGGAGGGCUUUGAGAUGAUCAAGAGUGGGGUCAUUUCACUUCGGGAAUGUAUUCAGUUGGGGGCGAAUACUAACGUCCUCUUAGGUAAGUCAAAUGUUCACUUAUUUCUCCGUUGACGUCAAUGCGAUGUAAAAGUUGGACUUAGGGAAAAGUUAGGAUUCACCCUUCAUGGUUAGGGGCUCGUAAGUAAGCAUUUCACUGUAAGGUAAGGUAAGAAGCAAAACAGUGAGAUACACAAAUAGUCAUACACAAACCCAAACACAAAGGGAGGUAUUAAGGUUGAGAGACAUUCACAGUGAUAUACUUACACACACACGAUAACAAAUUAAUAAAUGUUAUUUUUUUAUCAUCAACGAGUCACCCAAUGUCAGUACCUUAACUGUUCCCAGUUACAUCAAGGAGUUUGUCCACGGAGACUUUGGUCGCACCAAGCCCAAUCUGUGUGAUAUGCUGAAGACUGAGACUGAUAUCCUAGAGCUGGACGUUGAUUCUGUAGAUGUGGACUGGCCACCCUCCAUCCCGGAGUGAGCCUCGUCUCACUGAUGCUGUUGAGGAUGCCAAAAGGAGCCCUAGUUCUUUCUGAUGGGCCAUACCGUCACCUAUUAGGCUCCGUUCCACUGAUCUCUAGAUGAUAUGGAUAGUGUCAAUAUAUUUGUUUUUCUUUCAAUAGAUUAUGUUGAAAUGACUGAAUCUGUACAGCACGUGCGCUGAGCUGAGGCCUUGAACUGAUCUUAGAUAUACAUGUCUUUGAGAGCCGUAGCAGGGACUGGGUGUGAAUGGCACCGCUGACGGAAAGAACUACAAUCCAAGUUAAUUGCACUCACCUGGUGUCCCAAGUCUGAAUUAGUCUCUUAUUAGGAGAGGAUGAAAACCAGAAGUGUUUCGGCCCUCCAGGUCAGACAUUGAACAGCCCUUCUAUAUAGCUUAGGGGUAGUCUAUGGUCAGUAUUUUGUGUGUUUUUCCCUCAAUUGAUUUACAGAGGUUUUUGUUCAGCCUUAAAAUAAAUGGUUUACCUGUGGAUUGUCCCGUAGGCAAAAUGAGAGCAAUGCUAUACUUUUUUUUUUGUAUGAAUGAACAUAUUUGAAUGUGAUGUCUCCCAUCAGUAUCAUGUUCCCCCAUUGUAAAUCCCAUCCACAUAAAGGCCUGGGACAUGUUCAGUUGUGCACACAAUGGAAAAAAAAUUGGAACAGAAAACCAAAACAUUUUAUUUCAUAAGUCCAGGUAUGGUGCUUUUCCAUUUUGACUUACCCCCACACCAAUGUUUUAUGUUAAAGGGAAACGUGAGGAUUUUGGCAAUCUACUUCCCCGGGGUCACAGGAACUCGUGCCUACCAUUUUUGUCUCUGCGUGUAGUUUGAAGGGACUUGCUAACCAUUGAUACCGCAUUUACUAACUAGCGUUAGCGCAAUGACUGGAGGUCUAUGGGUAGCAGAUACCCACAGACCUUGUCAUUGCACUAACGCUAGUUAGCAUUUUCUCAUGAAACUACCUCUAGCUUCCUUCAUAUUGGACAUAGAGAAAAUUGUAUCCACAAGUUUGUGACUCUGGGAAAGUAGAUAAAGGGCCUCAUUGCCAAAAUCCUGAUGUGUCCCUUUAAUGUAAGCUCUAGUGUUUUGUCCAUCAGGUGUGUGACACUAAAGACUUGUGGCAAGCAGAAUAACAAACCUCUGCAUCAUUCAAGACUGUUGCUUUUUGAGGUGUAAAAGUUCAGUUAACCAUCUUUGUAAAUUCAAGCUAAAAAAGUACCCAGUGCCUUGGCUCCAAGUCAGAGCAUGUCCGUCGGAGCAAUGGUCCAGUGAGACACGGGUGCCGGCCCACGUAGAUGGAAAAAUAGAUUUACCCCAGUGUUUUACCCAAAAACAUACCAGUGGGAAUGCGCCAGUAGUUUCUUCCUCCCGGUUUUAUUUGAUUUGGUUCCUAAUGAACAUGACCCUGGAUGAGACCCUUGCUGAAUAUUGUGUAGGGUAUUGCUUUCCAAAGGGUACACACUCAUUGAAAUAUCAGACGGGGGGGAUUAAAAUAAAACACUGAUUUACGCCAUGAAAAACCCUGAAAUGUAUUCUUUAAUUUAAUUCAAAAUAAAUACUACCACGGCAUUGCAAGUUCACUAUUGGUUUCUUGCCCUAAUGUUUUGGUAAGAAAACAAACAAGCAAACAAUCCAAAAAACAAUUGGAUAAAAAACAGACUUUAGUAAUGCAUCCAACAAUAUCAUCCUUCAGCGGCUUAAAGAGAGGUGCCUUUUUGACUCUGAACAAGACUGGGUAACACUGCCUAGAAUGACACAAACAUAAAUAAAUCUAGUACUAUGGUACAAAAAAGGAAGGGAAUGAUAACGACCUGAUGUAACCACAUAUCACUGCAGAAUUGACCAUGGUCCCACUUGAACGGGUAAAAGAAAACAUUACAGUGGGUGUCAAUUUAUUUGACCAACAGCGAAAAAGGG
This is a non-coding RNA of Oncorhynchus mykiss (rainbow trout), 3675 nucleotides long. The record is from RefSeq and is a predicted model, not a curated record. NCBI's taxonomy places the organism in Eukaryota, Metazoa, Chordata, Actinopteri, Salmoniformes, Salmonidae.